RNAcentral lists this long non-coding RNA (324 nucleotides) under Carica papaya (papaya). RNAcentral describes it as "long non-coding RNA (CPAP_LNC007962)". Lineage: Eukaryota; Viridiplantae; Streptophyta; Magnoliopsida; Brassicales; Caricaceae. The record is from RNAcentral.
GCCACACCAAAGAUAAAAAAAACCAGUAAGCCUCAAUUUUUUCUCUUUUCUGCUAAGAGACACCUCCUAACCAUCAAUUAAACAGGUUUUUACCAAGAACUGACUGAGAACGACCUGACCGAGAUGAGGAACCAUCAGAGAAGGAGGACCCAGUGGCGAAGCACGGCAGUGCCGCCCUGCCGGAACCCAACCAACCCCCCGACUAGAUUUUUUGUUCUUUUGGCCAUUUUUUGUGUAUUUUCACGCUAUUUUGACGUACAUUUUGAUUUUAACAAAAAAAUCCAAGAAAUUCAGGAACUAAAAACUGUCAGAAAAUGUAGUGAA